UCCGCCAGGGUACUACAAGCGCUAGCUUAAAACCCAAAGGACUUGACGGUGUCUCAGACCCACCUAGAGGAGCCUGUUCUAGAACCGAUAACCCCCGUUCAACCUCACCACCCCUUGCUUUCCCCGCCUAUAUACCGCCGUCGCAAGCUUACCCUGUGAAGGUCCUACAGUAAGCAAAAUGGAUACACUUCGAAACGUCAGGUCGAGGUGUAGCUUACGAGGUGGAAAGAAAUGGGCUACAUUUUCUUUAUCAGAAUAACUCGAAUGGCACCAUGAAACUAGUGCCUGAAGGUGGAUUUAGCAGUAAAA
Molecule: ribosomal RNA, 309 nt
Filed under: Tetragonopterus sp. 'Rio Parana'
Lineage: Eukaryota; Metazoa; Chordata; Actinopteri; Characiformes; Characidae
Description: partial small subunit ribosomal RNA
Rfam family: Bacterial small subunit ribosomal RNA
Source: RNAcentral